Molecule: long non-coding RNA, 460 nt
Organism: Saimiri boliviensis boliviensis (Bolivian squirrel monkey)
Lineage: Eukaryota; Metazoa; Chordata; Mammalia; Primates; Cebidae
Source: RefSeq, a predicted model, not a curated record
CGGGCCGGUGACCUAGGGGUUCCGCGGGGAAGCGAACCCGCAUGCAGGAGGCUUCGGGGGUUGGGAAGAGGAUGCAUACAAAUUGGCAGGAAUGAAGAAGGGGCUCUUCCCUGCUCCUCUAAUCCCACCACUUCCAAGAGAAACCUGCUUUCUUCCCCCUUGACUUCCCAGGACCAAGGACUUUCAGGCGAAUGUGGGUAAUGGGUGAUGACUAGAACUCAGUGCUGAGUUAUCAAGGCCUGCCCAGGAUGCUCAGAAGCUAGAAGAGCUGGAAGAGUGAAUGCAAUCAUGUUCUGGAGGGAGAGCCGAGGAUCAAGAAUGAGAAGUGACUGUAUAUAUACACCAUCAUGGAAUGGAACUGGUGACAUUGCCAGCUACAGAGUCAACAGAAAUUGGAGCCCUCUUCAAAUUUCUUUUCACCACCUUGCAGAAGAGCUCCAGAUUGGACUCAGAACUCUGG